Molecule: long non-coding RNA, 6277 nt
Filed under: Eucalyptus grandis
Lineage: Eukaryota; Viridiplantae; Streptophyta; Magnoliopsida; Myrtales; Myrtaceae
Description: long non-coding RNA (EGRA_LNC003910)
Source: RNAcentral
CAGGAUCUCCCGCGUCCUCUCCAAGGAGUGGGCCGUCUUCCUGCUGAUCAAGGCCCUCUACUUCACCGCCCUCCUCAAGUUCUCCCUCCUCUCAACCUCAGCCGUCGUCUACACCAUCGCAUGCAUCUAUACGGGCCGCAAGGUCGCGUUCGGGAAGGUCAUGAGCGUUGUCCCGAGGGUCUGGAGGCGGCUGAUGGUCACCUUCCUGCGCUUCUUCCCGGCCAUGUUCGUGUACAACGUGAUCGCCGGGGUGAUCCUGCACACGUGUGCAAUCUUUGUCGGCGACUUGAACUUCGGCAUCCUGAUCCUCAUCCUUCUAGGGCUCGCAUACUUGGUCGGGUUCAUGUACAUGACCGCAGUGUGGCGAUUGGCGAGCGUGGUCUCCGUCCUGGAGGAAGAUUACGGGGUCAAGGCCAUGAUCAAGAGCAAGAACCUGAUAAAGGGCAAGCUAUUUGUGUCCACGAUCAUAUUCUUCAAGCUCAGCACAUCCUUACAUCUAGUUCAAUUCGCGUUCGAGAGGUUGGUCGUUUAUGGCCGCUCGGCAGGGACAUUAGACAGGUCUGGCUUGUUUCCAUGCUGAUGCUGUUGGGGCUCGUCGUCCAGACGGUGACCUACUUCGUCUGCAAGUCUUAACACCACGAGAACAUCGACAAGUCGGCGCUGUCGGAUCAUCUCGAGGUCUAUAUCGGAGAGUAUGUUCCUCUCAAAUCAUAACACCACGAGAACAUCAACAAGUCUGCGCUGUCGGAUCAUCUCGAGGUCUAUCUCGGAGAGUAUGUUCCUCUCAAACCCAAGGAUGUUCAGCUUGAGCAAUACGACGUUUGACUCCUAGUUCGUGUUCUUCUUAUGCUUGUUCCUUUUUCUGUUUUUCUUCAGUGGGACGAGAUAUUUUGAUACUUGAUAACUUAUGCACUAUAAAAAUAUCAAAGGAAAAAUAUAUUUUCUGCAUCUUUUUAGCCAGUGGCAAAUGGCUAAGUUAGACGUAUGCUCUUAAUUUUGUUUAGAUAUAUGCAAUAAUUAAACCGUAGUCUAUUAGUUUUUGUGCCUGGUGUGGCUGAUUUGAGCCAAUAUGUCUUUCCCAAGGCGUGUUGACUUUGAAUAAUGGAGUUUUCCAAGUAAUUACGCGAUGCACGCUUAUGUUGACUUUGAAUUCUUCUUGGCCGAGGACAAAGAAAAAUAUUAGGUAGUGGAUGGGGCCACGCAUGUGAGAGAGAUAAGAGGAAAUUACCAAGAAAGUUCUCAACUUUGUUCCAAUGUCAACUCAAUAAUAAAUUUUUUAAUUUGACAAAUUGAAUCUUAAUUCUUUUGAUGAUUCAUCAAUGUAGUUCGUUUGGCCAAUUUUGAUGGAGAAUCGUCGAUGUAAAUACCGACUAUCCUAUGUGACAACCAUCAAUAAUAUAAAUAACUUUUUAAUAAUUUUUUUCAAUUUAUUUUUUUAUUCCCUUUUCAUUUUGCCAGUGGUUGGCCAUCACCCAUAGAGAAUGGCCGGUGAGAGUUGGCCUUACUUGAGUGAGGGCCAACGUAAGCUAUCUUAGUGUGGGCGAGGAUAGUCUCGCCAUAUUUGGCAAGGGUGGUCCUUGCCCUUGCCCGGGAUAGGAAUGGACUGGGCUUGGACUUGCCAAAUUCAACAAGGGGAGCCCUUAUUGAUGCUUGCCUUGGCCUAGGCAAGGCCUGAUGGGGCCAACACUCACCAACCAUAGCCUAUGGCCGGUGGACAGUGACUAGCCAUUGACAAAAGGAAUAGGGAAAGAAAAAAAAUUAAUUUUUUUAUCAAUAUUAUCUAGAUCGGCACUAGUUGUGCCACGUAGGAUCACAUCGGCAGUUUUAUGCCAAAAUUGACUUGGACUGACUACAUUGAUGAAAUCAUCAAAGUAUUUAUGACUAAAUUGAUCAAGUCAAAAAGUUUAUGAUUGAGUUAAUAUCAAUGUAAUAGAUUUAUGAUUUUCUUAGUAAUUUCUCUAAGGGAUGGUGAUGAAUUUUUCGUAGUAAUUAUCACUAUUAUGUGCUGAAAAUGAAACUAAUCUUUUAAAUAUUUAUUUUUGAAAAUUGGACGUUGGUCAAUCUAAAUUUCUUCUUCCAACUGAAACAGGGUAUAUUAUAGAAUUGCGCACUCCUAAGUAGUAGCUUCAACGUGAUUGUUUGUGUUUUUUAUUGGCGUGCAUUAAUUACAAGGAGCCACCUAAAUCUCAAGCCCCUUCUUUCGGCGAUCUACCACAUUAAUGAAUACGAGGAGCAACCUGACCCUCCAACUUGGCGCAUUCCUCUUUGGUCACUUUGGAAACACUCCAUUGUAUUUGAAAAAAUGCUAGUCAUGGAGCAAAGAUAAUUCCAACCCAUAAAUUCAGCGUGGGGGUAUAGAAGCCUUUGGAGAAAUCGUUAUUUCAGUUAUAAUCCCAUUCUACGAUUUCAGUCUAGUUCUAAAUUUUCGAUUGACCUAAUGUAAUACUAGAACUUUUAGUAAAAGAAAAACAAUCAAUUUCUCUUAGUUAAGCCCCACAUGCUUUUAUAGCUUUCCAUUGAUUUUUUCUUUUUCUUUUUCAAUAACUCCGUUCACUACCAUUAUUCAUGUUAUUUCACAACAAAUGCAUCUUGUGCCUGCAGUGAUGCGAGGAAUUUUUAUUUAUUUAUUUUUAUCUCAAUUUGAAAUAUACAUUGUUGGAAUAAUUGCCAAAUGCAUAAUUCCUUUUACGACUAUUUGCCUUUUGAAAGAUGAGUUUCUCUAAUCAUUGAUUCAGUUAUUUUCUUGUUCGCCGUCUUUUUCCAUUAUAACUUUGUGACUCGUACAAUACUCUAUAUCUACAAGCCCUCAAAUCUUGCCUAACCAAUAGCUUUGCCAUCUUCUAUUGACUACGCUGAGCAUGCAUCGUCCAAAUCGUAUGAUGGCAUAACCUUCUUCAACUUAUAAGUUAAAUCAUCAAAUGUACAGAUCUAGGUGUAUGAUAAAUCCUUUCGUUUACACUGAUGUUUAAUUGCUACAUACUCAUCGAAUGGAUAAUUUGUGGUCGAUUUUCGAAACCUUUUUAUUCUCAUCAGCACGGAGAAGCUAGAGAUGUUGGUGCCACAUUGCGUAUCAGUGCCGGUCCAUUAUUAACGUUAUUGAGGAUUCAUUCAAUUGUCCCUCAUUGAGUUUUUCUCGUAAUCGACCGUGUUGUCAAGUCGGAUCUUGCAAUAUUUGGCAUAGCUGAUGCGAUCCGAUUCGAGCCCUUGAGAGUUACAAACCCGCCACCCAUCUUUCUCCCUCUUGGCCAUUCCGAGGUUCGAUCCCAUGUCUUGUCCCUUGGUCUCCAACCCCACGCCGCCACGGACCGCCGCGCCCGAUGGCUCUCUGUUUUCUCCAUCUGGGUUUGUCGGAGUCGAGCCGGGUCUUUCGCUUUAGACCCCGAUCAUCAUCCUUUCGCAUGAAGGCCUGCCGUCUUUUGAAGGCCCAUGGCUGGUUCCUAAGACCCAAGCUCGUCGACAGCUCUUUUCCUACCCGGAAAGCCGGUUCCAGAAAAGCAGUUGCCAUAUGAUAAGCGCCACUGAAAAGUGACGGUUGAUACAAAAGAAACUGCUUUGCUCCCGCGGAAAAGCAGUUCUUUGGGGAUCUGUUUAUUGCAGCGGAAGAACUGGAAAGGCAAGGGAAGCUCGUGCUCGUUGGGGUUCUCUUCCCUAGUGCCCCAUCAUCUCUCCCUCCCUCCCUCUCUCUCUCCGUCUCUCUCUCUACCCGUCUACUUUUUCAUUCACAUCUCUUUCAUUGAUUUCUCUGUUCAUUCUGAGCUCUGAACAAGGAGUUCCUCCAACAAGUCCAAUCAUGGUGAAGGAGACCGAGUCCUACGACGUUCUUGGUGUCAGCCCUUCUGCCUCCGACGACGAGAUUCGCAAGGCCUAUUACUCAAGGUAAGAGAGGCGGUUCUGUUCUCCUUUUCCUGGUUGUUGGAUCGGUCACAUUAGUGACUGAGUUGUGAUUGGUCGAUUCGAAUUUCUUUUCAUGACGAUGUUUUAGUGAACCGAGGUUUCUGGGAUUAGUUCCAAAUGUGAUUGAUCGUCUGAUCAAUCGAUUCUGCUGAAUCGGUUACUUCUACCCUUUUCCUUAUGGUCGUGUUCAAGAAAUGAAGAAGUCAUUGCCUAGCUGGUCCACUUUUUUUUUUUUUUUUUUGGUGAUUUCUUCCGAACUAUGAUAAUUAGUAUAAGCGUUUGAGUUAAGUGCACUCGAAGAGUUUGCGGUAGGUGGAUUGCUCGUUUAAAAGGCUCAUAUGAAAUUUGGCACUCCAUUUAAUAUGUCAACUUAAUUUUACCGAUCUUGGUCGAGUGAUAUCGCUGAAUGGAAGAGAUUUAACACUACUCUAUGUUUUUUUAAGUAACCAAUUAAAACGUGCCCUAUCCGAUGCAUCACCUAUUAUUCUUUACUGGAAAUAUCAUAUCCUAACCAUGGUCACCUCACCAACCUACAACAAUAGACAACAUGUAUGAAAAGUGUUAGCAAUAUUUAUUUGGCAAUCGACAGAGAAAUGAAAUUAGGAUUGAAAUUAAGCAUAUUGACUAGAUCUCUUGCCAUAAAUUUGUUUGAGUUUUUUACCAAUCUUUUUUUUUUUUUUUUUUUGAGACAGGAGGAACUAGCUUGUAGCCAUAAACUCCCGGUGACGCUAGCGCAGGACCCUCCACCACGACGUCACACUUAAGACACUUAGCGUCUCUACUGGGUUUUGAACCUCUUAUCUCUGGGCUGAGGAUCAGUAGGGCUUUAUCCCGUAGGGCCACCACGGUUGGUAGUCUUUUUUGCCAAUCUUCGUGGUCGAUAAAUUGGACAAUGACUGACUUGCGUUUAGGUUUUUUAAAUUGUCUACUAGAGGCAUUUCGAGAUUGAAAAGUCCAACCAAACCUCCUACGGUCCUCUUCAACUACUCUCUCCCCACCUUUCCAAUCCUUUCUUCCUUCUUCAUCUUCUCUUCCUCGAGAAAAUCUUCACUGAACGUCAAGGGAUCGACAGAAGCAUGGAUCGAGAGCAAGAAGAGAUGCAGUUCCUCGGCCUCGUCGGCAUCUGCAAAGAGUCCUGCAAGGUCAUCUUCUCAUGGAGGAAGAUCUUCACCCAGAUCACCUUGGCCCUGAUCCUCCCUCUCGCCUUCGUCUUCCUCCUCCACAUGGAAGUCUCCGACAUCCUCUUGUCGAAGAUCGUCCACAACGAGAUCCAGCUCGACGAGACCCGCCCCAAUACUUCCCGAAGCGACAGGAUCUCCAGCGUCCUCUCCAAGGAGUGGGCCGUCUUCCUGCUGAUCAAGGCCCUCUACUUCACCGCCCUCCUCGUGUUCUCCCUCCUCUCAACCUCAGCCGUCGUCUACACUAUCGCAUGCAUCUAUACGGGCCGCGAGGUCGCGUUUCGGAAGGUCAUGAGCGUGGUCCCGAGGGUCUGGAGGCGGCUGAUGGUCACCUUCCUGUGCAUCUUCCUGGCCAUGUUCUUGUACAAUGUGAUUGCCGGGGUGAUCCUGCUCACGUGCGCAAUCUUUGUCGGCGACUCAAACUUCGGCAUCCUGAUCCUCAUCCUUCUAGUGAUCGCAUACUUGGUCGGGUUCAUGUACAUGACCGCAGUGUGGCAAUUGGCGAGCGUGGUCUCCGUCCUGGAGGAAGAUUACGGGGUCAAGGCCAUGAUCAAGAGCAAGAACCUGAUAAAGGGCAAGAUAAUUGUGUCCAUAAUCAUAUUCUUCAAGCUCAGCACAUCCUUACACCUAGUUCAAUUCGCGUUCGAGAAGUUGGUCGUUUAUGGCCGCUCGGCAGGGACAUUAGGCAGGUGUGGCUAUGGAGUUCUGUGUUUCUUUCUUCUUUCCAUGCUGAUGGUGUUCGGGCUCGUCGUCCAGACGGUGAUCUACUUCGUCUGCAAGUCGUACCACCACGAGAACAUCGACAAGUCGGCGCUGUCGGAUCAUCUCGAGGUCUAUCUCGGAGAGUAUGUUCCUCUCAAAUCCAAGGAUGUUCAGCUUGAGCAAUACGACAUUUGACUCAUUGUUCGUGUUCUUCUUAUCCUUGUUCCUUUUUCUGUUUUUCUUCUGUGGGACGAGAUAUUUUGAUACUUGAUAACUUAUGCACUAUAAAAAUAUCAAAGGAAAAAUAUAUUUUCUGCAUCUUUUUAGCCAGUAGCAAAUGGUUAAGUUAGAUGUAAGCUCUUAAUUUUGUUUAGAUAUAUGUAAUAAUUAAACCGUAGUCUAUUAUUUUUUGUGCCUGGUGUGGCUGAUUUGAGCCACCAUGUCUUACCCAAGGCGCGUUGACUUUGAAUAAUGGAGUUUUCCAAGUAAUUACGCGAUGCACG